Molecule: ribosomal RNA, 424 nt
Filed under: uncultured bacterium
Lineage: Bacteria
Description: partial 16S ribosomal RNA
Rfam family: Bacterial small subunit ribosomal RNA
Source: RNAcentral
AAUUUUGGACAAUGGGCGCAAGCCUGAUCCAGCCAUGCCGCGUGAGUGAAGAAGGNCUNNGGGUUNUNAAGCACUGUUGGCAGNNNNNAAACGGCACCGACUAAUACCGGGUGUCACUGACGGUACCUGCAGAAUAAGCACCGGCUAACUACGUGCCAGCAGCCGCGGUAAUACGUAGGGUGCAAGCGUUAAUCGGAAUUACUGGGCGUAAAGCGUGCGCAGGCGGUUCGGAAAGAAAGAUGUGAAAUCCCAGAGCUUAACUUUGGAACUGCAUUUUUAACUGCCGAGCUAGAGUAUGUCAGAGGGGGGUAGAAUUCCACGUGUAGCAGUGAAAUGCGUAGAGAUGUGGAGGAAUACCGAUGGCGAAGGCAGCCCCCUGGGAUAAUACUGACGCUCAUGCACGAAAGCGUGGGGAGCAAACAGG